ACGUAGGGGGCGAGCGUUGUCCGGAAUGACUGGGCGUAAAGGGCGUGUAGGCGGCCGAUUAAGUCCGGAGUGAAAGUCCUGCUUUCAAGGUGGGAAUUGCUUUGGAAACUGGUUGGCUUGAGUGCGGAAGAGGUAAGUGGAAUUCCCAGUGUAGAGGUGAAAUGCGUAGAGAUCGGGAGGAACACCAGUGGCGAAGGCGACUUACUGGCCCGUUACUGACGCUCAGGCGCGAAAGCGUGGGGAGCAAACAG
This 251-nucleotide ribosomal RNA is filed under the name uncultured prokaryote. RNAcentral's name for it is "partial 16S rRNA". It matches the Rfam family "Bacterial small subunit ribosomal RNA", at positions 525 to 775 of the family's 1533-position model. The record is from RNAcentral.